UACGUAGGGAGCAAGCGUUGUCCGGAAUCAUUGGGCGUAAAGCGCGCGUAGGCGGCCCUGUAAGUCCGUUGUGAAAGCCCUGGGCUCAACCUGGGAAUUGCAGUGGAUACUGGCGAGCUAGAGUGCGGUAGAGGAUGGUGGAAUUCCCGGUGUAGCGGUGAAAUGCGUAGAGAUCGGGAGGAACACCCGUGGCGAAGGCGGCCAUCUGGACCAGCACUGACGCUGAGGCACGAAAGCGUGGGGAGCAAACAGG
Molecule: ribosomal RNA, 253 nt
Filed under: uncultured bacterium
Lineage: Bacteria
Description: partial 16S ribosomal RNA
Rfam family: Bacterial small subunit ribosomal RNA
Source: RNAcentral